Molecule: ribosomal RNA, 253 nt
Filed under: uncultured prokaryote
Description: partial 16S ribosomal RNA
Rfam family: Bacterial small subunit ribosomal RNA
Source: RNAcentral
UACGGAGGGUGCAAGCGUUGUUCGGAAUUAUUGGGCGUAAAGGGCGUGUAGGUGGCUUUCCAAGUCUGGUGUGAAAUCCCACGGCUCAACCGUGGAACUGCAUUGGAAACUGGGGAGCUCGAGUGUUGGAGGGGGUCGCGGAAUUCCCGGUGUAGAGGUGAAAUUCGUAGAUAUCGGGAGGAACACCAGUGGCGAAGGCGGCGACCUGGCCAAUCACUGACACUGAGACGCGAAAGCGUGGGGAGCAAACAGG